AUUGAACGCUGGCGGCAUGCCUUACACAUGCAAGUCGAACGGUAACAGGUUAAGCUGACGAGUGGCGAACGGGUGAGUAAUAUAUCGGAACGUGCACAGUCGUGGGGGAUAACGUAGCGAAAGCUACGCUAAUACCGCAUACGAUCUACGGAUGAAAGCGGGGGAUCGCAAGACCACGCGGGAUUCGAGCGGCCGAUAUCAGAUUAGGUUGUUGGUGAGGUAAAACCUCACCAAGCCUGCGAUCUGUAGCUGGUCGGAGAGGACGACCAGCCACACUGGAACUGAGACACGGUCCAGAUUCCUACGGGGGGCAGCAGUGGGGAAUUUUGGACAAUGGACGCAAGUCUGAUCCAGCAAUGCCGCGUGCAGGACGAAGGCCUUCGGGUUGUAAACUGCUUUUGUACGGAACGAAACGGUGAACCCUAAUACAGUUUGCUAAUGACGGUACCGUAAGAAUAAGCACCGGCUAACUACGUGCCAGCAGCCGCCGUAA
Molecule: ribosomal RNA, 493 nt
Filed under: uncultured bacterium
Lineage: Bacteria
Description: partial 16S ribosomal RNA
Rfam family: Bacterial small subunit ribosomal RNA
Source: RNAcentral